AAAGACUUAAUAAAGACGAAAGAACAAUGAAUACCCAAGGACAAGCUCCCGAGGUCUUGGACAUGUCUCUCAACCUCUUCAUCUAAUUCAAAGAUUUAUUGUGCCAUUUUCAUGAAAUAUCGUGUAAAAGGUGCUUUGUAAAAUAACAGGGGCUCACAGCUAAGAAUUUGCCUUGAAUCUCAGAGAAGACUUUGGAUUAGGACUUCUCAGCAGUGCUGGACGGAUAAGAGCUGACUUACCAGUAAAUGACACCAAUGAUAAAGUGACAUUCUCAAAAUGUGUUGCUGUUGAAAAUGUCUUCAUACUUGAAAAAGUUGAAAACCACCAUCCUAUGCCAUAUUGUGUCACUGAUGGUUGGAAAUCUUCCCCUUGUAAGAGCUCUUUGCUGACACCUGAGAGUCUAAGGAUUCCUGAUGCCCAGGACCCACCCCAGGCCAGUUAAGCAAGGAUUACGGGUGUGCGAAGAAAGCUGCUCAAAUGAAUCUAAUGUGAAGCUAGCUGAGAACCAGAUGGCUCAGACUUUGAAGCUGGAGAUGGAUCUCAUAACAAGAUUUUGAAAUAUGCCACGCCACAGGGCUUAGAAGUGAAUUGCCCCUAGGAGCUUCUUUGUCAUCUCAGCCUUCUGCCCCACCACUAUCCCACCACGGUGAUCCCCGUUUUGGUCUCACUCCACGCAUGGUGGAAACCAGGGUUCUGCUUAUCUUCUGUCUUCUCCUGCCUAUUGCGCAUAUCAGUAGAGGAUGCCCGGCACUCCCUGGGCCUCUAAUUUCAUGUAGUUCAUCUAUUAGCUAACCAUACUUCUCUACCUGCAACUGGUUGGAAACGUUUUGUUCAUGCAGAUCCAGAACAGAGUCUAACCCCAGGACGCGGGGAGAAAGGAGGUGUUUGGUCUCAUACCCCGAGGAAGACGGUGUAUUGGAAGCUGCUCCUCGGUGUCUCCUGAUCGUCGGCAGAAACUCAAGUUAUCCCCAAGCAUUACCUUGCUCCCGGGUCUGCCUUUCCUCUGCAGCUCUCGGCUCCUUCCUCCCGGCAGUGCACACGUGGGUGUGUGGAAGUCCCCAGAGAUCUCACGGAAACAGGCCGUUCUGCAGCUCUGCAGUGGAGCGCGACAGUGUGCACGUCCACCGCCUUCCCAGGGGCCAUAACGCAUAAAACAGAUGCAGGUGGAGCUGCUGCGGUUGGAAUGGGGGCUGGGUCCUCCCGGGAGGAACAAACGCUGGCGCUCUACAGAACUCAGUUUGUGAGCUAUCAGGUGAAUCCACAGCCCCGCCACCACACCAAGAAAUCAGAGAACCAUUCCUGAUUUCCUAGAAACAAAGAGUCAAGGCCAGAAUUGAACCAUGGAGGCAAACAAUAUCCCAGUCCCCAGAAAGAAACACACAGUAACAGCACAAAGUUACCUAAAACAACCUGGGUCAAGCCUGCUUCUAAACGCCUGCUGCAUGCUGCUUCUCUGCGCUAUGAGGUGGCGCCUUCUGACGCGAGCCUAAGGCACAGAGAGCUUCAGUAACUUCUCCAUGGUCUCUGCUUAUUCAACGAUGAAGCGAAAGGAUCGGUCUAAUCCAGUGGCGGUGAACCCACGGCAGGUGUCCCACAGAGGACUGUUGGCAUCAUGGAAAGUUCUGAAGGAUUUGCCAUCCCUGGGUUCGUCUGCCCCGUGAUUGGGUUCGUAAGUCCUCUUUGAUGAGGAUAGCUCUAAAAGUUCCCAUCCCGAUGUUGAUGCUUUCUACUUUAGAGAGUUCUUUUUUCUCUUUGCUUCUGCUGCUUUUCCAAGAAGUUGAGAAAUCUGCGGCCCCUUCUCCUGUGGACUGACACUAUUCACCUCGCAGAAUCCAUCUGCGGACAGCAACUGUAGGUCACAGUCCAAGUCGCUCCCCAUUUUCAUCCUUGUAGAGAGUGAACUGCGAUGCGGAACUAUCUUUAGUGCUCAGAGCAGAGCUCUUGGAGGCUGCUCGUGGUAUCGGAGCUCGAGCCAAAUAAAGGUUAUUUCUGGUC
Long non-coding RNA from Chinchilla lanigera (long-tailed chinchilla), 1995 nucleotides. RefSeq lists it as uncharacterized. The transcript has 9 exons. Lineage: Eukaryota; Metazoa; Chordata; Mammalia; Rodentia; Chinchillidae. The record is from RefSeq and is a predicted model, not a curated record.